GCCUGCCUCCGACGAUGAAGGUCCACCCUACAUUCCACGUCUCUCGGGUCAAACCCGUCAGGCUCUCAAGGUUUUUCCCCUCCUCCAGAACCCCACCUCCUCCUCGUUUGGUUGAUGGAGCUCCGGCCUUUACAGUAAGGCGGAUACUCAAGUCCAGGAGGUGGGGCAGGGGCAUGCAGUACCUGGUUGAUUGGGAGGGUUAUGGACCUGAGGAGCGGCAGUGGGUUCCCGCCCGCUUCAUCUUAGACAAGUCCCUUAUCAGGGAUUUCCACAAGGCACGCUCUGAACAUCCUAAGGCGUCUGGUAUCCGCCCUUAAGGGGGGGGCUCUGUGAUGAUCUUGGCAUUGGCACUGAUCUGUCCCACCGGUACACCUGCUCAUCUCCACCGUGUCUGCAAUUAGUCCUCAUUGGUUUCAUCUGUUUUCACCUCCUUAUAAUCCCUGUGCAGAUCAGAUGCCAGUGCCAGAUUGUCUCAAGCAAGUCGUAUGAGCAUUCCAGCGUUCUCGUCCCUGUCUGCCUGUUUCCUGACCCCUGUGUUUCUUCUGAGCCUACCCGUGAACGAACUUGGACUGGACCCGGACUCUCCCUGUUGGACCUCCCUUCUGUACCGCCGCCGGAUAAUUGCCCUCUGUGUACUGGACCUGGACUCCCCCGGAUUACGCCUCUGGAAAGCCCCUGUCGGAUCCCUGCCUGUUCGCCCGCUACCCUCCACUCCCGGAUCAGUUCGCUUGGGUUUCUGCCGGCUCUCCGGACCCAGCUACCCCAACUUCAGGGGUUAACCACACUAAGCGCGAGCUACUGCGCGUGGAGAGGGCGAGUCCACUUCCUGCUUGUAAAUAAAAACAUUGAAAACGCCACUGACCUGUGUCGGCUG
Molecule: long non-coding RNA, 874 nt
Organism: Fundulus heteroclitus (mummichog)
Lineage: Eukaryota; Metazoa; Chordata; Actinopteri; Cyprinodontiformes; Fundulidae
Exons: 2
Source: RefSeq, a predicted model, not a curated record